Long non-coding RNA from Xenopus laevis (African clawed frog), 1107 nucleotides. RefSeq lists it as uncharacterized. The transcript has 4 exons. The record is from RefSeq and is a predicted model, not a curated record. Lineage: Eukaryota; Metazoa; Chordata; Amphibia; Anura; Pipidae.
GAAUGUAUUUGGGACAAACGGCACCCCAUACAAGCUUGCCCCUUGUGUGUCCGUGCUUGUUGCUUAUCUCUCCCUUGUGUGUCCUUGCUUGUUGCUUAUCCCUCCCUUGUGUGUCCGUGCUUGUUGCUUAACCCUCCCUUGUGCGUCCGUGCUUUUUGCUUAUGCCUCCCUUGUGUGUCCAUGCUUGUAUAUAUGCGGAGAACUUCCCAGGCAGUUGAACUGAAGAAGCUGCUUUUUUUUACCUGUUGUGAUUGAUGUUCUUGUUAUGGACAGGCUUUUUUCAGGCAGUUUGCACAAUUUCCACACGGGCAAAUAAUCACCUCCUGUGCUAUUAUCCUAAGACAUCAAAUUCUAGAUUACGUUUUAUAUGGUGCACACAAUGCAUUGUCAUGUUGCAAUAUAGUAAAAAUCCAUUUUUUAUUUUGCCCAGGAAUAUAUCAUCACAUGUAUCCAACUCUUCCAAUCUCCAAGGAGAUCUAAAUCUUAAAGAUAGCUGUGAAAAACAAGAAAAUAGAAGCAGAAAUAAGACAUCUGGGUCACUUUUAAAAGCAAUCACUAUAAAAAAUUCUCCAAAGUGUCAUCAUACCAAAGGAUCUUUGUACACAGAGUUGCAGCCUAUUUUGGAAUGGACCAUAAUAUUGGAAAGCAUGUAAUAAGUAACAGGACCAGAAACAGAUGUAUGUCACCAGAAAAAGUUUCUGUUGGAGGGGAAGUAUCAACUAUUAGUCUGGCUAAGAAAAGGACAAUUGAAUAUGGAAGAGGUCACAAACACACCUUUUUACAUUCUUCUCAAAAGCUUAUGUCAUCUUCACUAAGGAGCCUGACUACGAAGGACAAAUCCACUGUACCAAGGAACAAGAGAGAAUAUCAGAAGAGGAUAUGAAUGACACUGUUUUGUAAUACUUUUGCACUAUUUCUUAUUUAGAGAUGGUCCCUUUUGUUAUUAUAAAACCGUUGUCAGGACAAAAUGGUCUAACAGGGAAGAAUGUAGAGACCCAUAGUGCUUGAGUUUUCUAGAAAAUAAUGUAAACAUUAAAUAAACGCAAUAUUCUGGUUUUGCUGUCAAUAAGGAUUAAUUAUAUCCUAGUUAGGAUCAAGUACAAGGUA